Molecule: RNA transcript, 1275 nt
Organism: Camarhynchus parvulus
Lineage: Eukaryota; Metazoa; Chordata; Aves; Passeriformes; Thraupidae
Gene name: GTPase-activating Rap/Ran-GAP domain-like protein 3
Exons: 6
Source: RefSeq, a predicted model, not a curated record
AGAAUGGCCGGGGCGGGGGCGGCCUGGCGGGUCCCUUUUCGGCGGGCGGCGGAGGCGCGAUCGCAGCGCUCCGCGGGCCGGGGGCGGCUGCGGAGGCGGCUCCGCAGCGUGUUCAGCGUUGCGAGCAGAUAGCUCUGCGUUAGUGCCCGUGGCUCUUUCUUCCAUGGAAACGGAUGGAGCGGCGCUGAGCAGUGAACGCAGCGAUGGCCAGGGGAACGGCGAGCGCGAGGAGCGCGCGGGCUGGAUCCUUCCGAUGGCACAGGGUACUCAGAAAAUAUGUCUCCCUUAGAGUCCCACAAAAACAUUCUCAGUGAAAUCUAUAUUAAGUGCUAUGAGUCUUGAUAAAUUUGAGAAGAGCCCAAGAGAAAUUUUUCAUCCUGAGAUACAAAAGUAUUUGCUGGAGCUCUGCUUACCCAAGCUUUGGGUAAAACAAGCUUUGGGUUCCUUCUGUCUCACCGGGAGUUGCCCAGUUUGGUUGCAUCUGGUGAAAUUCACCCUGAGACCUGACAGAGCUGGCUCAGACUACGUGAGAGCCAUUUGCGGUUCUCUCCAGACACCUGGAGAAUGGGGAAAGACUCUCGUGUCCUGGUCGUCAGGCUCAGUGCUGCCCGAAAAGAUACAGAGACUAAAAAAAUCCUAAGAAGCAAAUAUGACUGCAGAGAAAACAAACUGGAGAGAACAAAAGAAGUCGAUGUAAUCCUAUUGAGGAGUUUUUAAUUCUGUGUUGCCAAGUCAUCCAUCAGAGCCCUGUUGUACUAAUCAUCCUACAAAUACAAAACAAAAAAUCAGACCCUGUCCCAGCCGCUUGGAGCCUGGAACAUUGUUUCCUCGGGCUGCCAUUGGUGUGCCGUCAGUACUCACCACGGAAGCGAGCUGAGGAUUGCUGCAGCUGUUGGGAACAAACAGCUUCUCGUCACAAAGAAAUAGAAUUGGGACGACAGCUCGGUCAGCGCCUCCCUGCUCUCGUCUCCUGAAUCUCCAGCAGAGGAGUUCCAGUCCAUCCGGGUACGUGUCAUCCAGUUCCUGGUGAUCUGAACACACCGAGCAGCACUCAGCUGCUGUGGGGGGCUCAGGGAAGGCAGAGUGUGCGUUCUCAUCUUCCUGAACCUACAGACAAAUCAAAGUGAGAAGCCACAGGGUGGAAAUCAGUCGCAUAGAUGCUAAAUAAAACUUGCAGAUGUUUUUAAGAAUUGUUUCUGCUUGUUCUUUGUUGUGCUUCUGUGCUUAGAAAACAUCCCUUUAAAAUCAGUACAAUUCAUCAGUUGAAAGUUUUUU